GGCCUUUCAAACAAGACAAAAGUAGAACUGAAGGUAACCCAGUGCUAUGGAUCAGAAAACAGUUCAUAUAAUAUAAUACUCUUCUGUUGAAAUAUAUGAUAAAGUGUAUAAUACAUGGCAAAAUCCGUAUCACAUGCCGUAUCACCCUCGACAAAUAUCAUCCCUCGGGCCUAAAGGCCCUUGGGCUGAUAUUGAUGUCUCGGGAUGAUACGACAUAUGAUACGGAUUUUGCCAUGUAAUAUUCUCUAUUUAUCCUAUGUUUAGUAGUAAAUACAGUAGUUUUGCAUAUGUGAUAAAUAGCCUGUUGUUUAAUCCAUAUCGCGCAACUUUGAUGCGCACCCUUUAUCGCAUACCCUUUAUCACACCCCUACCCUUUAUCGCAUACCCUUUAUCACACCCCUACUUUUUUUUUUUUUUUUUUUUUUUUUUUUUUUUACAUAAAGUCAGUUUUGUUUUUUUUUUUGCUUAAGAAAAAUUUUCCUCAAAAUAGGUAAAUUUUUUGAAUGACGUCAUUGUUUGGUAUGCGACGUCACGAACGUCGAGUUUUCAUAUUGUAUGUGACGUCACGAACGUCAAGUUUUUAUAUUUUUU
Molecule: long non-coding RNA, 591 nt
Filed under: Mytilus galloprovincialis (Mediterranean mussel)
Lineage: Eukaryota; Metazoa; Mollusca; Bivalvia; Mytilida; Mytilidae
Source: RNAcentral